Molecule: ribosomal RNA, 673 nt
Filed under: Agrobacterium tumefaciens
Lineage: Bacteria; Pseudomonadati; Pseudomonadota; Alphaproteobacteria; Hyphomicrobiales; Rhizobiaceae
Description: partial 23S ribosomal RNA
Rfam family: Bacterial large subunit ribosomal RNA
Source: RNAcentral
GGGUGACGGCGUACCUUUUGUAUAAUGGGUCAACGACUUAGUGUAACGAGCAAGCUUAAGCCGGUAGGUGUAGGCGUAGCGAAAGCGAGUCUGAAUAGGGCGUUCAGUUCGUUGCAUUAGACCCGAAACCGAGUGAUCUAGCCAUGAGCAGGCUGAAGGUUGGGUAACACCAACUGGAGGGCCGAACCCAUAACUGUUGCAAUAGUUCGGGAUGACUUGUGGCUAGGGGUGAAAGGCCAAUCAAACUCGGAAAUAGCUGGUUCUCCGCGAAAUCUAUUUAGGUAGAGCGUCGACCGAAUACCCUCGGGGGUAGAGCACUGGAUGGGCUAUGGGGACUCACCGUCUUACUGAUCCUAACCAAACUCCGAAUACCGAGGAGUACUAGUCGGCAGACACACGGCGGGUGCUAACGUCCGUCGUGAAGAGGGCAACAACCCUGACCUCCAGCUAAGGUCCCCAAGUCAUGGCUAAGUGGGAAAGGAUGUGAGGAUCCCAAAACAACCAGGAUGUUGGCUUAGAAGCAGCCAUCAUUUAAAGAAAGCGUAACAGCUCACUGGUCUAAAUAAGGGUCUUUGCGCCGAAAAUGUAACGGGGCUAAAGCCAUGCACCGAAGCUGAGGAUACAACGUAAGUUGUGUGGUAGCGGAGCGUUCCGUAAGUCUGUGAAGGCGGAC